GACGAACGCUGGCGGCGUGCUUAACACAUGCAAGUCGAACGGAAAGGCCCUGCUUUUGUGGGGUGCUCGAGUGGCGAACGGGUGAGUAACACGUGAGUAACCUGCCCUUGACUUUGGGAUAACUUCAGGAAACUGGGGCUAAUACCGGAUAGGAGCUCCUGCUGCAUGGUGGGGGUUGGAAAGUUUCGGCGGUUGGGGAUGGACUCGCGGCUUAUCAGCUUGUUGGUGGGGUAGUGGCUUACCAAGGCUUUGACGGGUAGCCGGCCUGAGAGGGUGACCGGCCACAUUGGGACUGGGAUGCGGCCCAGACGCCUACGGGAGGCAGCAGUGGGGAAUAUUGCACAAUGGGCGGAAGCCUGAUGCAGCAACGCCGCGUGCGGGAUGACGGCCUUCGGGUUGUAAACCGCUUUCGCCUGUGACGAAGCGUGAGUGACGGUAAUGGGCAAAGAAGCACCGGCUAACUACGU
RNAcentral lists this ribosomal RNA (467 nucleotides) under uncultured bacterium. RNAcentral's name for it is "partial 16S ribosomal RNA". It matches the Rfam family "Bacterial small subunit ribosomal RNA", at positions 28 to 506 of the family's 1533-position model. The record is from RNAcentral.